GUUAAGCGACUAAGCGUACACGGUGGAUGCCCUGGCAGUCAGAGGCGAUGAAGGACGUGCUAAUCUGCGAAAAGCGCCGGCGAGGUGAUAUGAACCUUUGACCCGGCGAUGUCCGAAUGGGGAAACCCAGUGCAAUUCGUUGCACUAUCGUUAACUGAAUACAUAGGUUAACGAGGCGAACCGGGGGAACUGAAACAUCUAAGUACCCCGAGGAAAAGAAAUCAACCGAGAUUCCCCCAGUAGCGGCGAGCGAACGGGGAGGAGCCCAGAGUCUGAAUCAGUUUGUGUGUUAGUGGAACGGUCUGGAAAGUCCGGCGAUACAGGGUGACAGCCCCGUACACGAAAGCACACAGGCUGUGAACUCGAAGAGUAGGGCGGGACACGUGGUAUCCUGUCUGAAUAUGGGGGACCAUCCUCCAAGGCUAAAUACUCCUGACUGACCGAUAGUGAACCAGUACCGUGAGGGAAAGGCGAAAAGAACCCCGGCGAGGGGAGUGAAAAAGAACCUGAAACCGUGUACGUACAAGCAGUGGGAGCAUCCUUCGGGGUGUGACUGCGUACCUUUUGUAUAAUGGGUCAGCGACUUAUAUUCUGUAGCAAGGUUAACCGAAUAGGGGAGCCGAAGGGAAACCGAGUCUUAACUGGGCGUUAAGUUGCAGGGUAUAGACCCGAAACCCGGUGAUCUAGCCAUGGGCAGGUUGAAGGUUGGGUAACACUAACUGGAGGACCGAACCGACUAAUGUUGAAAAAUUAGCGGAUGACCUGUGGCUGGGGGUGAAAGGCCAAUCAAACCGGGAGAUAGCUGGUUCUCCCCGAAAGCUAUUUAGGUAGCGCCUCGUGAACUCAUCUUCGGGGGUAGAGCACUGUUUCGGCUAGGGGGUCAUCCCGACUUACCAACCCGAUGCAAACUGCGAAUACCGAAGAAUGUUAUCACGGGAGACACACGGCGGGUGCUAACGUCCGUCGUGAAGAGGGAAACAACCCAGACCGCCAGCUAAGGUCCCAAAGUCAUGGUUAAGUGGGAAACGAUGUGGGAAGGCCCAGACAGCCAGGAUGUUGGCUUAGAAGCAGCCAUCAUUUAAAGAAAGCGUAAUAGCUCACUGGUCGAGUCGGCCUGCGCGGAAGAUGUAACGGGGCUAAACCAUGCACCGAAGCUGCGGCAGCGACACUGUGUGUUGUUGGGUAGGGGAGCGUUCUGUAAGCCGUUGAAGGUGUGCUGUGAGGCAUGCUGGAGGUAUCAGAAGUGCGAAUGCUGACAUAAGUAACGAUAAAGCGGGUGAAAAGCCCGCUCGCCGGAAGACCAAGGGUUCCUGUCCAACGUUAAUCGGGGCAGGGUGAGUCGACCCCUAAGGCGAGGCCGAAAGGCGUAGUCGAUGGGAAACAGGUUAAUAUUCCUGUACUUGGUGUUACUGCGAAGGGGGACGGAGAAGGCUAUGUUAGCCGGGCGACGGUUGUCCCGGUUUAAGCAUGUAGGCGGAGGUUCCAGGUAAAUCCGGUACCUUUUAACGCUGAGGUGUGAUGACGAGGCACUACGGUGCUGAAGUAACAAAUGCCCUGCUUCCAGGAAAAGCCUCUAAGCAUCAGGUAACACGAAAUCGUACCCCAAACCGACACAGGUGGUCAGGUAGAGAAUACCAAGGCGCUUGAGAGAACUCGGGUGAAGGAACUAGGCAAAAUGGUGCCGUAACUUCGGGAGAAGGCACGCUGACAUGUAGGUGAAGCCCCUGCGGGUGGAGCUGAAGUCAGUCGAAGAUACCAGCUGGCUGCAACUGUUUAUUAAAAACACAGCACUGUGCAAACACGAAAGUGGACGUAUACGGUGUGACGCCUGCCCGGUGCCGGAAGGUUAAUUGAUGGGGUUAUCCUUAGGGAGAAGCUCUUGAUCGAAGCCCCGGUAAACGGCGGCCGUAACUAUAACGGUCCUAAGGUAGCGAAAUUCCUUGUCGGGUAAGUUCCGACCUGCACGAAUGGCGUAAUGAUGGCCAGGCUGUCUCCACCCGAGACUCAGUGAAAUUGAACUCGCUGUGAAGAUGCAGUGUACCCGCGGCAAGACGGAAAGACCCCGUGAACCUUUACUAUAGCUUGACACUGAACAUUGAGCCUUGAUGUGUAGGAUAGGUGGGAGGCUUUGAAGCGUGGACGCCAGUCUGCGUGGAGCCAACCUUGAAAUACCACCCUUUAAUGUUUGAUGUUCUAACCUGGCGCCGUAAUCCGGCGUGGGGACAGUGUCUGGUGGGUAGUUUGACUGGGGCGGUCUCCUCCUAAAGAGUAACGGAGGAGCACGAAGGUUGGCUAAUCCUGGUCGGACAUCAGGAGGUUAGUGCAAUGGCAUAAGCCAGCUUGACUGCGAGCGUGACGGCGCGAGCAGGUGCGAAAGCAGGUCAUAGUGAUCCGGUGGUUCUGAAUGGAAGGGCCAUCGCUCAACGGAUAAAAGGUACUCCGGGGAUAACAGGCUGAUACCGCCCAAGAGUUCAUAUCGACGGCGGUGUUUGGCACCUCGAUGUCGGCUCAUCACAUCCUGGGGCUGAAGUAGGUCCCAAGGGUAUGGCUGUUCGCCAUUUAAAGUGGUACGCGAGCUGGGUUUAGAACGUCGUGAGACAGUUCGGUCCCUAUCUGCCGUGGGCGCUGGAGAAUUGAGGGGGGCUGCUCCUAGUACGAGAGGACCGGAGUGGACGCAUCACUGGUGUUCGGGUUGUCAUGCCAAUGGCAUUGCCCGGUAGCUACAUGCGGAAGAGAUAAGUGCUGAAAGCAUCUAAGCACGAAACUUGCCCCGAGAUGAGUUCUCCCUGAGACCCAGAGUCUCCUGAAGGAACGUUAAAGACUAUGACGUUGAUAGGCCGGGUGUGUAAGCGCAGCGAUGCGUUGAGCUAACCGGUACUAAUGAACCGUGAGGCUUAACC
Molecule: ribosomal RNA, 2900 nt
Filed under: Pluralibacter gergoviae
Lineage: Bacteria; Pseudomonadati; Pseudomonadota; Gammaproteobacteria; Enterobacterales; Enterobacteriaceae
Description: Bacterial large subunit ribosomal RNA
Rfam family: Bacterial large subunit ribosomal RNA
Source: RNAcentral